AAUAGUUGCCUCUGCAACCAAACUGCUGCUCAUGCUUUGACUGAUUGCUGACAUGUUUGUUUUUUUCCACCAAUAGGAAAACAAUGUUGUGUUUGUGCUUACUUUAACCUUGACUCUGUUAGCGGCUUUCUUGCUGUGCUUUCAAAUGAUAAAUAAUGUGGCGACACAAGGAAAUCUGGUCUCACUUGAUACAUUUCCCCCAUUUUUAAAGACUUGUGACGUUAAAUAGUGCUGCUCUUUGUUGUGGUUUACCUUCAGGUGUCUCUGGAUAUGGUGAGCUAUUUCCAGCAUGUCCUCCGAGUGAAAGGCCUCGAUCUCCAGUCUCAAGAGAGCGAAUGCUAGAACGGAGGGCUGGAUGGACAAACAAAUAAAGAAUUCAGGUUGCGGGGGGCGCUGGUGCCCAUCUCAGCUACAAUCGGGCGGAAGUCAGGGUACACCUCGGACAAGUCCCCACCUCAUUGCAGGGCCAACACAGAUAGACAACAUUCACACACUAGGGCCAAAUUAGUGUUGCCAAUCAACCUAUCCACAGGUGCAUGUCUUUGGAGGUGAGAGGAAGCCGGAAUACCCGGAGGGAACCGAUGCAGUCACGGGGAGGACAUGCAAACUCCACACAGAAGGAUCCAGAGCCCGGGAUUGAACCCUGACUAAUCAGGACCUUCGUAUUGUGAGGCAGACGCACUAACCCCAGCUCCGCCGUGAAGCCCCAUUAUUUUAUUUUUUUUACCAAAUCAUUGAACUUUAAUAUUUAUGAUCCCAUAAAUAAAGGGCUUGUGUGUUCUCUAUAUACAA
Molecule: long non-coding RNA, 792 nt
Organism: Nerophis ophidion (straightnose pipefish)
Lineage: Eukaryota; Metazoa; Chordata; Actinopteri; Syngnathiformes; Syngnathidae
Exons: 2
Source: RefSeq, a predicted model, not a curated record